CUGGAGGCUUAUGUUUCAGGCAGUGAGACGAGUUCGUUCUCAGAAGAUUCUGCGACUUAUCUUCUCCCGUUCUGUGGUAGUCUUUUUUUGACACAGCCAAUACAUCUUUUAUUCAACUGACAGGGACCAUAAGUCCCCUGUUGGGUAACCCAAGGAAGUUCACAGUUCAUCAGAAGGAACCAAUUCAGAUAAUAGCUAGAAAUCUGAUAGGCACGGAGCAGUUGGGCUGCAUGGCAAGUGGGCAUUCAUCCCCAAAGUUUCCUGGAAGAGGAUGCCCAGGUGCCUGGUGGCAAGAGACAAGGCAGGAAAGUGGUGGUGGGGGAGGGCUUGGCUGAAGAACACACUGAGAGCAGGAGCAAGGGUCACAUUUGAUCUCCCAGGCCUGAAAUUGCCAGUGCCUGGCACAUAAUAAGGACACAAAAAAUUGCUUGUAGAAUUGAGAGUUUGGGCUGGGCGCGGUGGCUCAGGCCUGUAAUCCCAGCACUUUGGGAGGCCAAGGUGGGUGGAUCACGAGGUCAAGAGAUUGAGACCAUCCUGGCUAACACCGUGAAACCCCGUCUCUACUAAAAAAAAUACAAAAAAAAAAAAAAAAAUAGGCGUGGUGGUGGGCGCUUGUAGUCCCAGCUACUCGGGAGGCUGAGGCAAGAAAAUGGCGUAAACCUGGGAGGCGGAGCUUGCAGUGAGCCGAGAUCGCGUCACUGCACUCCAGCCUGGGUGACAGAGCAAGACUCCAUCUCAAAAAAAAAAAAAGAGAGAGUUUGAUUCUCAGGAGUCACAGGAGACUGGAAGGAAGUAAAUUAAAAAUGGUGAAAAGUGGAAAACAACUUUGGAAGUUACCUGAUUGGAAGAAGAACCUCUAGGGAAUGGAGUAGAGGGGCCAGAUUUGGCAGUACUAGGCAGGGGGUGGAGUAGUGGUGGUGUCCUGUGGGAGUGUGUAUGAGAAAGGGGCAGAGUGGUGAGGUGGCUGAUGAACUGCUAUAGCCAAGCCAAGAAUUUGGAGGAUGAGAGUGGUAAGUAUGAAUUGACCCCUGCUUAGUAGGCUUAAAGCUGAUAGAAAAGAAACUGGACAGUAGGCAGAGGAAUAGGUAGUAAGUGGACUCAUGAUGGAAUAGAAUUGGCCAGAAGCUUGAAGAGAUAAACUAGAAUGGAAGAAGGAAUGGGGGUUGGAGAGAACAAAUGCCCUUGGAAGGGCAUGUUAUUGCUCAGUCAGAACAAAGCAAAACUCAAACAAACAAAAAAAUCUGAAAAAGAGUAUGAACAAAUUGUAGAGGAAGAAUGCUGCCUGUUGGGAAAAAGGAGGUGGUGGCAGGAAAGAGGGAGACAGCAUGAGGCCUGGAGUUGAAGAAAGUCUCAGCCUUGGGGUCUAAUCUUUUGACCUUGGAGAAGACCUGUGGGCAGAUUUAUAACUGUCAGUUCAGUCUGUCCUCAUAGGUGCGCCUGGGAGAGGAACUGGAGGAGGUAGCAGGGUCAGAGACUGCAAGGCAGAUUCCUCCCCACAGCCUGAAUCUGUCAGAAUCUUCUAAGCAGCAGAAUGCAUUUUGGGCACCAUGGCUUCAUUGGUUACAACCUCUACCUAGUAAGCAGAGUCUGGAUUUAAAUCUUGCUUGUGUCAAAUCUUACUAGAAAAACCUAGUUCUCUCUUAUGCCCUGGGGACUCUGAUGUUCCUGCUGCCCUUGCCCAUAGGGUAUGCCAAAUCAUGGUUAGAAAUCCCUUCCAUGGCCCCUCGUUGGUCUCUAAUCCAAUUUUUAUGUUGGAAAACUUGGGUUCUUAAGGGCUUGGCAUGGUAGGCCUUACUCUACCUUUGUGCUAGAUGCCCACUCCACCUGCCUCUUAUUAGAAGAGCCAGUGAAAAGGACAAGGCAAAGGAGAAUCAUUUCCUCGGAUGUCAGUUUUUCAGUUUUACAUUGGAUUUUCCACCUUUGAGUUGUUUAUUCCUUUCUGUCCUUUCAGAUUUCUGGACCCAAGUAUCCUCAGUGCCCAUAUUGGAAGCCCCAGCCCCAAUGAAUCACAGGAGCUUGGUAGUUGCCCCACCAUAGUUUCUGAUAUUGGUGACUAGCCCCAGUUCUUUUACUGAGUUAAGAGUGGAAGAAGACCUUGCAACUAAGGGGAAUGGAACUGAGGUCUAGCCUAGUGAGGCUACAGAGAAUAAACCUGACAACAGGAGUGUGAAGAUCCAUCCGAAAAGGGUGAGGUACCACUGCUUGAAAUAUGAAUCCCCUAGCCAGUGGUUCUCAAACUUUAGCUUGUAUCACACAUCCAGGAGGGCAUUUAGUUAAAAGACUGAACGUUGAGCUCCUUCCCGAGUUUCUGAUUCAGUAGUUCUCCUGGGGCGGGGGCUAAGAAUUUGCAUUUCAAACAAGUUUCCAGGUGAUAUUUAUGCUGCUGGCCCAAAGACCAAAUUUUGAGAGCCACAGUUUGGUAUGGCUCACAAGGGAAAAGAGGAAAAUUUUGCUAGCUCAGGCUCUCUAAGGAUCUAAAGGAAUGGAUUUCACUUUUCUGAUAUUGCCCAGCCCCACCCACUCCCAUUCAGUGCAUGCAUCCUAAUUCAGAGAUGGAAAGAACUGGCCUUCUGGCCUUUGUAGGUCUGAGUCAGGACCUGCCCUUGAUGGAAAUAGGAAACAGUGAUUUGAUUGCAGGAAUGUUGGAAAGGGAGGAAUUUUGUCCCAAAUUAUCACCUCUUUGGUUCUCUGAAGCCAUAACAUUACUUUGACAAGGGAAAAGUUUUUCCUUCCACAAUUAGAACUAAGGCGUAAAGUGUAAAUAGCCUGGUGAAAAGCUAACACUUUCGGUUACAGUCUCCUAUGCAAGGGAUUCUUUGAAAGAUACUAUGUUGGGGUGGAAAGGGGAGGAUACUCAGAAUAGGGUGGAGGUACCAGAUGGAAAAAUGUGACAGGUUCCUGAAGAUGAUAUCCCUGUUUUACAUUUUGCCCAAAGAGAACACAGAGAUUCUUUUUAUUUAAAGGGGACGGGGUGAAACAUGAACAU
RNAcentral lists this long non-coding RNA (2986 nucleotides) under Homo sapiens (human). RNAcentral describes it as "HSALNT0188572". Lineage: Eukaryota; Metazoa; Chordata; Mammalia; Primates; Hominidae. The record is from RNAcentral.